Long non-coding RNA from Xenia sp. Carnegie-2017, 1739 nucleotides. RefSeq lists it as uncharacterized. The record is from RefSeq and is a predicted model, not a curated record. The transcript has 3 exons. Lineage: Eukaryota; Metazoa; Cnidaria; Anthozoa; Malacalcyonacea; Xeniidae.
UUUUAUCAGUUGAUUGCACUAACUUCUUCGUUUAAAUUCUCCUAAUACAAUCUCUAGCAACCAGUAAAACAAACGCAUACUAAAAUAAAAUAAUGUUUGUAAAUCUAAGAAGGACAGAAUUAAAAGCUAGGAUACUGCACAGAUCUUACCCACGCCACAUUAUUCAAGAUCAUCUGGUCUUUUCUGCAAUUGGCAUUCGACUGGAUGAACGUGAUUGGUUACGUGAAUAGUUUUGCUGAGUCUCUGAGUUUCUGCAAGGCGGUGAUGUAUAUAAGGACGUCCUUUGGAUUACACCAAAGUCAGUGGUAGCUGGCUUGUGACGGAGCACCUCCUCAUCGAAAGCAACAUUUGUUGGUAAAGUUUGCGAGUCACAUUAGCAUAUGUAAAAUAAAGAUAUGAACAAAAACGAUAAAAAUUCCAAUUUUGAAUCAAAUGAGGAUGAAGGCUCUGAUCUCCACAAAGGCUCUCUGUUUCGUAAGUGGUUGAGAUACACUACACAUGCCCUUGAGAUGUGACCUUCGUUGCCAUCUCGCAAAUGUAAAUUAUAACAUACCAUUGAAUAGUAUGAUCUUGAAUAAUGUGGCUUUAUCAGCUUUAUCACUUUUAUCAGUUGAUUGCACUAACUUCUUCGUUUAAAUUCGCCGUCUGGCUUACAGCUCACGCAAUUAACCAUUCAGCUACCCGCCCCACGGGUGGAGGUUGAUGAUGAUGAUAAUGGAGCAUGAGCAACAUGACGAAAACAAUUCCCGCGAAGAGAACGUUCUGCAGGAGAUUCUUGUAGACGAUCAAGUAGGGAUGGAAUCAGAUGUUGACAGUUAUGCUGAACUUUUUAAUAUCUUGCUUGAGUUUUUAUAUUUGGACUUUAGUGUUGAAAUAUAUGAUUUAAAUCUACCAUUAAUUCCUGAUGAACUGUAAGUUUGACUGUAUAUGUAGAAAUAUUUUAUUUGUAGAAAUGUAGAAAUGUAGAAAUGCACAAACUAUGGAGUUAAAAUUUGUUAAAAUAACUAUUUAGAUAGAAUGUACUCUAUUACGUCUGUAAAACGUAUAAACUUGUGUAGGUGCUAAUUUUAAUAAAGAAUCUUUUUCACUAUUUGCCAAAAACUUACAUUCGCGAGAUGACGACAAUUCCCGAACGUGAUCUCACGUGAUCUAGAGUUAAGCUUAUCAUUGGCUGAAAUUGAAGUGCAUUUUUCAUUUUAUUCGGCGUACUUUCUGGAUUUUUAGUUCGUGCGUUAUUGCAUGGCAAUGUUCAGUCGUCCAUAGAUCCAACACUUAAGGAAUAUGUAAUGUACGUGUCGUUGCCUGGUGAGAUUUGGGUGAGAGCAUUAAGACUUUUUGUUCUUCCUUUGAUUGUAUCCAGCCUGCUUUUGGCAGUCGCUGAAUUGGAGUCAUAACAGAGCGGAAAUUUGGGAAGAAAAACAUUGCUGUAUUGUCUUAUGACUACAAUGUUUGGGGAGUAAUUUGUUUAUUUGCAUUUAACCUGGAAAUGUUAACGUGAAAGAACAAGAACCAAACGAAGAAAAAGUUGAACCAAUACAUUCUGUGCUUGAUCUUACAAGGUGCGAGUGUGGCUUUUGUGUGGUCAUGAAAGUUUAUACCUCUACUUAUCAUAUUUGGCACUUUUGUUUGAGUGGUUCUUGACCUUACGUGUUUUUGCGGACGGAUUGUUAUGGCUGCUUGGCAUUUCACAUUUCGCUUCUAAGACAAACUUCCUUUGAGGUAAAACGCACAAACAUUUC